Molecule: ribosomal RNA, 449 nt
Filed under: uncultured Acholeplasma sp.
Lineage: Bacteria; Bacillati; Mycoplasmatota; Mollicutes; Acholeplasmatales; Acholeplasmataceae
Description: bacterial SSU rRNA
Rfam family: Bacterial small subunit ribosomal RNA
Source: RNAcentral
CGGUGAAUCAUGUUGUUUAAGUUUCGAUGAUACGCGAAGAACCUUACCACGGUCUUGACACCCCCGCCGAUGCUUUAGAGAUAAAGCGGAGGUAUUCGGGGAGACAGGUGGUGCAUGGUUGUCGUCAGCUCGUGUCGUGAGAUGUUGGGUUAAGUCCCGCAACGAGCGCAACCCUAUUGCUAGUUACCAUCAUUAAGUUGGGGACUCUAGCGAGACUGCCAGUGAUAAACUGGAGGAAGGUGGGGAUGACGUCAAAUCAUCAUGCCCCUUAUGACCUGGGCUACAAACGUGAUACAAUGGCUGGAACAAAGGGAUGCGAAGCAGUGAUGUGGAGCGAAACCCAUAAAAACAGUCUCAGUUCGGAUUGAAGUCUGCAACUCGACUUCAUGAAGUCGGAAUCGCUAGUAAUCGCGGAUCAGAACGCCGCGGUGAAUACGUUCUCGGGGUUU